GCCUUGCUGACGCGGAGGGACAUUACCGAGUUUACAACUCCCAAACCCAAUGUGAACCAUACCAAACUGUUGCCUCGGCGGGGUCACGCCCCGGGUGCGUCGCAGCCCCGGAACCAGGCGCCCGCCGGAGGGACCAACCAAACUCUUUUCUGUAGUCCCCUCGCGGACGUUAUUUCUUACAGCUCUGAGCAAAAAUUCAAAAUGAAUCAAAACUUUCAACAACGGAUCUCUUGGUUCUGGCAUCGAUGAAGAACGCAGCGAAAUGCGAUAAGUAAUGUGAAUUGCAGAAUUCAGUGAAUCAUCGAAUCUUUGAACGCACAUUGCGCCCGCCAGUAUUCUGGCGGGCAUGCCUGUCCGAGCGUCAUUUCAACCCUCGAACCCCUCCGGGGGGUCGGCGUUGGGGACCUCGGGAGCCCCUAAGACGGGAUCCCGGCCCCGAAAUACAGUGGCGGUCUCGCCGCAGCCUCUCCUGCGCAGUAGUUUGCACAACUCGCACCGGGAGCGCGGCGCGUCCACGUCCGUAAAACACCCAACUUCUGAAAUGUUGACCUCGGAUCAGGUAGGAAUACCCGCUGAACUUAAGCAUAUCAAAGGGGGAAAGGAAU
Molecule: ribosomal RNA, 605 nt
Filed under: Trichoderma atroviride
Lineage: Eukaryota; Fungi; Ascomycota; Sordariomycetes; Hypocreales; Hypocreaceae
Description: eukaryotic LSU rRNA
Rfam family: 5.8S ribosomal RNA (bases 211-364)
Source: RNAcentral